This 132-nucleotide small RNA is filed under the name Salmonella enterica. Its description in RNAcentral is "RtT sRNA". It matches the Rfam family "RtT RNA". From Rfam's summary of the family: This family represents a bacterial cis-regulatory element known as RtT RNA. The exact function of RtT is unknown although it is thought that it may be involved in changing the cellular response in relation to amino acid starvation. Lineage: Bacteria; Pseudomonadati; Pseudomonadota; Gammaproteobacteria; Enterobacterales; Enterobacteriaceae. The record is from RNAcentral. RNAcentral also lists the same sequence under 1 other name.
GUUUGCACUUGUCGGGGAAGGGUGAGAACCUUCGAUUAAGGUUCGACUCGAGCGAAAGCGAGAGAACGUUGCCGACGGCAACGGCCCGUAGGGUGAGGAGCGAAGCGACGAAUAAUCCUUCCCCCACCAUCA